GGGACCGGGAUGAACUAGCAUGCGAGUCAUUGUAGUAAUACAAGGCAGACGGCUCAGUAACGCGUAGUCAACCUACCCUAUGGACGGGGAUAACCUCGGGAAACUGAGAAUAAUACCCGAUAGAACAUUAUGCCUGGAAUGGUUUAUGUUUCAAAUAAUUUAUUGCCGUAGGAUGGGACUGCGGCCUAUCAGUUUGUUGGUGAGGUAAUGGCCCACCAAGACUAUUACAGGUACGGGCUCUGAGAGGAGUAGCCCGGAGAUGGGUACUGAGACACGGACCCAGGCCCUAUGGGGCGCAGCAGGCGAGAAAACUUUGCAAUGUGCGAAAGCACGACAAGGUUAAUCCGAGUGGUUUCUGCUAAAGGAACCUUUUGUCAGUCCUAGAAACACUGAUGAAUAAGGGGUGGGCAAGUUCUGGUGUCAGCCGCCGCGGUAAAACCAGCACCUCAAGUGGUCAGGAUGAUUAUUGGGCCUAAAGCAUCCGUAGCCGGCUCUGUAAGUUUUCGGUUAAAUCUGUACGCUCAACGUACAGGCUGCCGGGAAUACUGCAGAGCUAGGGAGUGGGAGAGGUAGACGGUACUCGGUAGGAAGGGGUAAAAUCCUUUGAUCUAUUGAUGACCACCUGUGGCGAAGGCGGUCUACCAGAACACGUCCGACGGUGAGGGAUGAAAGCUGGGGGAGCAAACCGGAUUAGAUACCCGGGUAGUCCCAGCUGUAAACUAUGCAAACUCAGUGAUGCAUUGGCUUGAUGCCAAUGCAGUGCUGCAGGGAAGCCGUUAAGUUUGCCGCCUGGGGAAGUACGUACGCAAGUAUGAAACUUAAAGGAAUUGGCGGGGGAGCACCACAAGGGGUGAAGCCUGCGGUUCAAUUGGAGUCAACGCCGGGG
Molecule: ribosomal RNA, 886 nt
Filed under: uncultured archaeon
Lineage: Archaea
Description: bacterial SSU rRNA
Rfam family: Archaeal small subunit ribosomal RNA
Source: RNAcentral